This 496-nucleotide ribosomal RNA is filed under the name uncultured bacterium. RNAcentral's name for it is "partial 16S ribosomal RNA". It matches the Rfam family "Bacterial small subunit ribosomal RNA", at positions 29 to 507 of the family's 1533-position model. The record is from RNAcentral.
ACGAACGCUGGCGGCGUGCCUAAUACAUGCAAGUUGAGCGAUGAAGAUUGGUGCUUGCACCAAUUUGAAGAGCAGCGAACGGGUGAGUAACGCGUGGGGAAUCUGCCUUUGAGCGGGGGACAACAUUUGGAAACGAAUGCUAAUACCGCAUAGCAACUUUAAACAUAAGUUUUAAGUUUGAAAGAUGCAAUUGCAUCACUCAAAGAUGAUCCCGCGUUGUAUUAGCUAGUUGGUGAGGUAAAGGCUCACCAAGGCGAUGAUACAUAGCCGACCUGAGAGGGUGAUCGGCCACAUUGGGACUGAGACACGGCCCAAACUCCUACGGGAGGCAGCAGUAGGGAAUCUUCGGCAAUGGACGAAAGUCUGACCGAGCAACGCCGCGUGAGUGAAGAAGGUUUUCGGAUCGUAAAACUCUGUUGGUAGAGAAGAACGUUGGUGAGAGUGGAAAGCUCAUCAAGUGACGGUAACUACCCAGAAAGGGACGGCUAACUACGUG